AAUAGAUACCCUGGUAGUCCACGCCGUAAACGAUGUCGACUUGGAGGUUGUUCCCUUGAGGAGUGGCUUCCGGAGCUAACGCGUUAAGUCGACCGCCUGGGGAGUACGGCCGCAAGGUUAAAACUCAAAUGAAUUGACGGGGGCCCGCACAAGCGGUGGAGCAUGUGGUUUAAUUCGAUGCAACGCGAAGAACCUUACCUACUCUUGACAUCCACGGAACUUAGCAGAGAUGCUUUGGUGCCUUCGGGAACCGUGAGACAGGUGCUGCAUGGCUGUCGUCAGCUCGUGUUGUGAAUGUUGGGUUAAGUCCCGCAACGAGCGCAACCCUUAUCCUUUGUUGCCAGCGGUUAGGCCGGGAACUCAAAGGAGACUGCCAGUGAUAAACUGGAGGAAGGUGGGGAUGACGUCAAGUCAUCAUGGCCCUUACGAGUAGGGCUACACACGUGCUACAAUGGCGCAUACAAAGAGAAGCGACCUCGCGAGAGCAAGCGGACCUCAUAAAGUGCGUCGUAGUCCGGAUUGGAGUCUGC
This 530-nucleotide ribosomal RNA is filed under the name uncultured bacterium. RNAcentral's name for it is "bacterial SSU rRNA". It matches the Rfam family "Bacterial small subunit ribosomal RNA", at positions 777 to 1308 of the family's 1533-position model. The record is from RNAcentral.